Molecule: long non-coding RNA, 397 nt
Filed under: Erythranthe guttata (spotted monkey flower)
Lineage: Eukaryota; Viridiplantae; Streptophyta; Magnoliopsida; Lamiales; Phrymaceae
Description: long non-coding RNA (EGUT_LNC001736)
Source: RNAcentral
GAAACUUGAAUACGUACCUUAUAGGAUCUAGGGUGUAAGGGCAAGUUGGGAAAAGAAAAGGGGAUGUAGCUUGUUUAUUGUUUCAAACUAAAAAUUUAAUUAAAAAAUUGAAUUUAAACUUAUCACUUAGUUCAUGUUUGAUUUGAGGGCUCAUAAAAUAUUAUAUAAAACAAAUAAAAUUAUAUAUAUAUAUAACCAUAUUUUCACUCCUUUGCAAUUAUCAUAUAAUACAACGGAGAAUAGUAAAGUAAAUUAUUUCAAAGGCAAUAAUAAGGCAUGACCAUAUCCAUAUAUAUAUAUAUGUUACACUUAAAAGUGGCAGCAGAAAUACAUACACACACAAUUAUACUCAUGCAAAAUGGACUUUUAUCUUUAAUUUAAAUCCAAAUACAUUNNN